CAUAAGUAUCCACGUGAGGUGCUUUGCCCGAUCAGAGGUUAUCGAAGUUACUGGAGUGCUAGCUCCCUUGUAGACUUUCCUCUUAAUAGCUGAUGUGGCUCCUUCUCCGAAUCUCUUGGACUCUUUCAGGAGGAGAUGAAGGACUUGAGGAAGAAGAGGUGAAGGAAGAAGGAAAUAAGAGAAACCUUUUCUCACUUUUA
RNAcentral lists this long non-coding RNA (200 nucleotides) under Elaeis guineensis (African oil palm). RNAcentral describes it as "long non-coding RNA (EGUI_LNC057837)". The record is from RNAcentral. Lineage: Eukaryota; Viridiplantae; Streptophyta; Magnoliopsida; Arecales; Arecaceae.